RNAcentral lists this ribosomal RNA (492 nucleotides) under uncultured bacterium. RNAcentral describes it as "partial 16S ribosomal RNA". It matches the Rfam family "Bacterial small subunit ribosomal RNA", at positions 29 to 507 of the family's 1533-position model. The record is from RNAcentral.
AGUGAACGCUGGCGGUAGGCCUAACACAUGCAAGUCGAACGGCAGCACAGUAAGAGCUUGCUCUUACGGGUGGCGAGUGGCGGACGGGUGAGGAAUACAUCGGAAUCUACUUUUUCGUGGGGGAUAACGUAGGGAAACUUACGCUAAUACCGCAUACGACCUACGGGUGAAAGCAGGGGAUCUUCGGACCUUGCGCGAUUGAAUGAGCCGAUGUCGGAUUAGCUAGUUGGCGGGUUAAAGGCCCACCAAGGCGACGAUCGGUAGCUGGUCUGAGAGGAUGAUAGGCCACACUGGAACUGAGACACGGUCCAGACUCCUACGGGAGGCAGCAGUGGGGAAUAUUGGACAAUGGGCGCAAGCCUGAUCCAGCCAUACCGCGUGGGUGAAGAAGGCCUUCGGGUUGUAAAGCCCUUUUGUUGGGAAAGAAAAGCAGCAGGUUAAUACCCCGCUGUUCUGACGGUACCCAAAGAAUAAGCACCGGCUAACUUCGUG